GACGAACGCUGGCGGCGUGCUUAACACAUGCAAGUCGAACGGAAAGGCCCUGCUUUUGUGGGGUGCUCGAGUGGCGAACGGGUGAGUAACACGUGAGUAACCUGCCCUUGACUUUGGGAUAACUUCAGGAAACUGGGGCUAAUACCGGAUAGGAGCUCCUGCUGCAUGGUGGGGGUUGGAAAGUUUCGGCGGUUGGGGAUGGACUCGCGGCUUAUCAGCUUGUUGGUGGGGUAGUGGCUUACCAAGGCUUUGACGGGUAGCCGGCCUGAGAGGGUGACCGGCCACAUUGGGACUGAGAUACGGCCCAGACUCCUACGGGAGGCAGCAGUGGGGAAUAUUGCACAAUGGGCGGAAGCCUGAUGCAGCAACGCCGCGUGCGGGAUGACGGCCUUCGGGUUGUAAACCGCUUUCGCCUGUGACGAAGCGUGAGUGACGGUAAUGGGUAAAGAAGCACCGGCUAACUACGUGCCAGCAGCCGCGGUGAUACGUAGGGUGCGAGCGUUGUCCGGAUUUAUUGGGCGUAAAGGGCUCGUAGGUGGUUGAUCGCGUCGGAAGUGUAAUCUUGGGGCUUAACCCUGAGCGCGCUUUCGAUACGGGUUGACUUGAGGAAGGUAGGGGAGAAUGGAAUUCCUGGUGGAGCGGUGGAAUGCGCAGAUAUCAGGAGGAACACCAGUGGCGAAGGCGGUUCUCUGGGCCUUUCCUGACGCUGAGGAGCGAAAGCGUGGGGAGCGAACAGGCUUAGAUACCCUGGUAGUCCACGCUGUAAACGGUGGGUACUAGGUGUGGGGUCCAUUCCACGGGUUCCGUGCCGUAGCUAACGCUUUAAGUACCCCGCCUGGGGAGUACGGCCGCAAGGCUAAAACUCAAAGGAAUUGACGGGGCCCCGCACAAGCGGCGGAGCAUGCGGAUUAAUUCGAUGCAACGCGUAGAACCUUACCCGGGUUUGACAUGGAUCGGGAGCGCUCAGAGAUGGGUGUGCCUCUUUUGGGGUCGGUUCACAGGUGGUGCAUGGCUGUCGUCAGCUCGUGUCGUGAGAUGUUGGGUUAAGUCCCGCAACGAGCGCAACCCUUGUUCACUGUUGCCAGCACGUUAUGGUGGGGACUCAGUGGAGACCGCCGGGGUCAACUCGGAGGAAGGUGGGGAUGACGUCAAGUCAUCAUGCCCCUUAUGUCCAGGGCUUCACGCAUGCUACAAUGGCUGGUACAGAGAGUGGCGAGCCUGUGAGGGUGAGCGAAUCUCGGAAAGCCGGUCUCAGUUCGGAUUGGGGUCUGCAACUCGACCUCAUGAAGUCGGAGUCGCUAGUAAUCGCAGAUCAGCAACGCUGCGGUGAAUACGUUCCCGGGGCU
Molecule: ribosomal RNA, 1346 nt
Filed under: uncultured bacterium
Lineage: Bacteria
Description: bacterial SSU rRNA
Rfam family: Bacterial small subunit ribosomal RNA
Source: RNAcentral